GUCCCUUUCGUCCGGUGGUUAGGACAUCGUCUUUUCAUGUCGAAGACAUGGGUUCAAUUCCCGUAAGGGAUA
RNAcentral lists this transfer RNA (72 nucleotides) under Rhododendron simsii. It matches the Rfam family "tRNA". From Rfam's summary of the family: Transfer RNA (tRNA) molecules are approximately 80 nucleotides in length. Their secondary structure includes four short double-helical elements and three loops (D, anti-codon, and T loops). Further hydrogen bonds mediate the characteristic L-shaped molecular structure. tRNAs have two regions of fundamental functional importance: the anti-codon, which is responsible for specific mRNA codon recognition, and the 3' end, to which the tRNAs corresponding amino acid is attached (by aminoacyl-tRNA synthetases). tRNAs cope with the degeneracy of the genetic code in two manners: having more than one tRNA (with a specific anti-codon) for a particular amino acid; and 'wobble' base-pairing, i.e. permitting non-standard base-pairing at the 3rd anti-codon position. The record is from Rfam by way of RNAcentral. Lineage: Eukaryota; Viridiplantae; Streptophyta; Magnoliopsida; Ericales; Ericaceae.